This 83-nucleotide transfer RNA is filed under the name Candidatus Methanomethylophilaceae archaeon. Its description in RNAcentral is "tRNA-Leu". It matches the Rfam family "tRNA". Rfam says of the family: Transfer RNA (tRNA) molecules are approximately 80 nucleotides in length. Their secondary structure includes four short double-helical elements and three loops (D, anti-codon, and T loops). The record is from RNAcentral. Lineage: Archaea; Methanobacteriati; Thermoplasmatota; Thermoplasmata; Methanomassiliicoccales; Methanomethylophilaceae.
GCGGGGGUAGCCGAGUUGGCCAAAGGCGCGGGACUUAAGAUCCCGUUCUUAGUGAUUCGUGGGUUCGAAUCCCAUCCCCCGCA